RNAcentral lists this ribosomal RNA (451 nucleotides) under uncultured bacterium. Its description in RNAcentral is "partial 16S ribosomal RNA". It matches the Rfam family "Bacterial small subunit ribosomal RNA", at positions 354 to 796 of the family's 1533-position model. The record is from RNAcentral.
GUGGGGAAUAUUGGACAAUGGGGGGAACCCUGAUCCAGCCAUGCCGCGUGUGUGAAGAAGGCCUUUUGGUUGUAAAGCACUUUAAGCGAGGAGGAGGCUACCGAGAUUAAUACUCUUGGAUAGUGGACGUUACUCGCAGAAUAAGCACCGGCUAACUCUGUGCCAGCAGCCGCGGUAAUACAGAGGAUGCAAGCGUUAAUCGGAUUUACUGGGCGUAAAGCGCGCGUAGGUGGCCAAUUAAGUCAAAUGUGAAAUCCCCGAGCUUAACUUGGGAAGUGCAUUCGAUACUGGUUGGCUAGAGUAUGGGAGAGGAUGGUAGAAUUCCAGGUGUAGCGGUGAAAUGCGUAGAGAUCUGGAGGAAUACCGAUGGCGAAGGCAGCCAUCUGGCCUAAUACUGACACUGAGGUGCGAAAGCAUGGGGAGCAAACAGGAUUAGAAACCCCAGUAGUCC